This 1400-nucleotide ribosomal RNA is filed under the name Streptococcus thermophilus. Its description in RNAcentral is "bacterial SSU rRNA". It matches the Rfam family "Bacterial small subunit ribosomal RNA". Lineage: Bacteria; Bacillati; Bacillota; Bacilli; Lactobacillales; Streptococcaceae. The record is from RNAcentral.
GACGCUGAAGAGAGGAGCUUGCUCUUCUUGGAUGAGUUGCGAACGGGUGAGUAACGCGUAGGUAACCUGCCUUGUAGCGGGGGAUAACUAUUGGAAACGAUAGCUAAUACCGCAUAACAAUGGAUGACACAUGUCAUUUAUUUGAAAGGGGCAAUUGUUCCACUACAAGAUGGACCUGCGUUGUAUUAGCUAGUAGGUGAGGUAAUGGCUCACCUAGGCGACGAUACAUAGCCGACCUGAGAGGGUGAUCGGCCACACUGGGACUGAGACACGGCCCAGACUCCUACGGGAGGCAGCAGUAGGGAAUCUUCGGCAAUGGGGGCAACCCUGACCGAGCAACGCCGCGUGAGUGAAGAAGGUUUUCGGAUCGUAAAGCUCUGUUGUAAGUCAAGAACGGGUGUGAGAGUGGAAAGUUCACACUGUGACGGUAGCUUACCAGAAAGGGACGGCUAACUACGUGCCAGCAGCCGCGGUAAUACGUAGGUCCCGAGCGUUGUCCGGAUUUAUUGGGCGUAAAGCGAGCGCAGGCGGUUUGAUAAGUCUGAAGUUAAAGGCUGUGGCUCAACCAUAGUUCGCUUUGGAAACUGUCAAACUUGAGUGCAGAAGGGGAGAGUGGAAUUCCAUGUGUAGCGGUGAAAUGCGUAGAUAUAUGGAGGAACACCGGUGGCGAAAGCGGCUCUCUGGUCUGUAACUGACGCUGAGGCUCGAAAGCGUGGGGAGCGAACAGGAUUAGAUACCCUGGUAGUCCACGCCGUAAACGAUGAGUGCUAGGUGUUGGAUCCUUUCCGGGAUUCAGUGCCGCAGCUAACGCAUUAAGCACUCCGCCUGGGGAGUACGACCGCAAGGUUGAAACUCAAAGGAAUUGACGGGGGCCCGCACAAGCGGUGGAGCAUGUGGUUUAAUUCGAAGCAACGCGAAGAACCUUACCAGGUCUUGACAUCCCGAUGCUAUUUCUAGAGAUAGAAAGUUACUUCGGUACAUCGGUGACAGGUGGUGCAUGGUUGUCGUCAGCUCGUGUCGUGAGAUGUUGGGUUAAGUCCCGCAACGAGCGCAACCCCUAUUGUUAGUUGCCAUCAUUCAGUUGGGCACUCUAGCGAGACUGCCGGUAAUAAACCGGAGGAAGGUGGGGAUGACGUCAAAUCAUCAUGCCCCUUAUGACCUGGGCUACACACGUGCUACAAUGGUUGGUACAACGAGUUGCGAGUCGGUGACGGCGAGCUAAUCUCUUAAAGCCAAUCUCAGUUCGGAUUGUAGGCUGCAACUCGCCUACAUGAAGUCGGAAUCGCUAGUAAUCGCGGAUCAGCACGCCGCGGUGAAUACGUUCCCGGGCCUUGUACACACCGCCCGUCACACCACGAGAGUUUUAACACCCGAAGUCGGUGAGGUAACCUUUGAGCCAC